UGGCAGCAUAUAGUUGGAUAAAUACAUUUUUCACACAAUAUAUCAGUGAAAAUUAAAAUUAUGGUGCAAAUAAUGAUAAUUUCCUUUCCUUUUGAAUCAAAUCACAACACAGUUUAUGCUAAAAAUAAUCUUAAUAUGAUUGCAGCCCUAAUACAAAUCUUUGACUAACCUUUGGCUGACCUUUCCUAUAAUUUUUGCAUUCCAGAACACAGUUGAAACACCAGCUUGAUGGUUAUAAUGCCAGUGCUGACUAAAAAGAAAACAUAUAAAAUGCAUUUUAUCUGUCAACAACAAUCACCCCUGUGUCUAGAAUCAACAAGAUCCAUGAAAAAUGCUUGCAUUAUUUUGAAAUCUCCUCAAAAGCCCAACAAAGUGAACCAGACAGAUGGACUGCAGUCAGGAUCUUGGAGGCAGCUGCCUUCAGAUGUGCUGGUAUUAAUAGUCGAAAAAAACUGAAGUAUAGAGAUCUUUCACAGUGAAAACAGCGUGUAUUUCUGCGCUGUCGGCACCUUUGCUGUGCUGCAGAUAGUUGUCAAGUUGCACAAAAAUCAAAGAAACAUGACUGACUUGAUAAAACACACUGAUAACGUAGAUAAACAAACAUGAGAUACGGUAAUAAAAGGCAAAAGUAACUCGCAAAUUUAAGGAUCAACACUGUGUUUUUAUCCAUGACGAAGGAUCCUGAACAUAACAAAUCUCUGUCUCCUCCCCCCUGAGGUGAUCCUGUAACAUCCGUUCAGUCUGUCAGUCGAUGCAGAAAGAGAGGAGGAUGAAGACAUCAUGAUCAGAAACAUCAACAGGAUCACUCUGCUGCUUCUCUGGCUCUCCUGUCGUUCACUGAGCGUUCAAGUCGAUCAGGGUCCAUCAUCGAUAUUAGGAAGCCCUGAUGGCUCAGCAACAAUCAGCUGCAACCAUUCGCACAGUUCAUACAAUGUAAUACUGUGGUACCAGCGGCCGACGGGAGAAUCUGGCCUCAAACUCAUUGGAUAUACUCAGUAUACGAGUCCAACCCUAGAGGAGCCAUUCAAACAGCGUUUCAAGGUGACAGGAGACGGCUCAGCAAAAUCUGAACUUCAUGUAGAAAAGCUCAGACUGCCAGAAGACAGCGGCAUGUAUUACUGCGCAGCUAGUAGCACAGUGACUCAAUUUCCCUCUCGUCUAUACAAAAACCCUCUCUGAUAGUCAGCCACAUAAAUUCCCAGUGAAGAAGAGCACACCUGCAUCUAACUGCAGCCUGUGGCAGGAAAUCUUCACUGAUAUCAGCCUCAAACCAGUCUUUUUCUGUGUUUAAAGGAAGGCCUAACUCUGGUAUUCUCCGACGUGGAUCCUAUUUUCCCAUGUUUUGUGUCUAAGUUACUCAUCAGGACAAGAGAUUUUGAAAUAAGUCUAAUAUUGAGGUAGACGGCUGCAGCUGCAAUGUAAUCCCUACAGACAAUUACACACUGUCAAAGUACGUCCACUGUAAUUGUGUCGUUGUUCUAAGUGUCUGACAACAUAAUGAAAAAGAUCCCUACACAGAUGGUUAUUUUAAUUAAAGAUUAACAUCCUUUUUGUUUACCCAGAAACAGGCGUGUUUCCUUCCGCCAAAGCCACCAGACUCCAUUUGGAAAAACAGUUAUUUAAUCUUUGUAAAACUAACUUCAUUUAAACUCGACAGGAAUACAAAAUAAACCUCAACAAAACAAUCCUCAUUUGUCUAUCUACUCUUCAACAACCACCAACCCUGUUUAAGUCUCAAUAAUCUCCCCAUUAACCGUGACUGAAAAUAUCAGUACAGGAGCGUGAGAAAGGGUUAGGGGUUUAGGGGUUUCGACACAAAAAUGCAGCUAAAUAGGGUCCAGGUUGAGAAAUAACUGAGUUACCCUUUAAUCAACACCGCAAGAUACUAUACAAAUCCACUGAUGAAGAUAUGUGACGGUCCAUAAUGUCGACUCCUCCUCCUCCUCCUUCACAUCCAGGCAGCUCUCUUCUGUUUGCAGUCAUCAUCUGAGUUUCCAUCAUGAUUAGACUCCUCGUAUAUUUAGCAGCUCUUCCGUUCUGUGUAACAGAACUCUCAAAAAACAGUGUCCAACAGACUCCCACUGCCCUGAUCAAACAUGCUGGAGAAGAAGUCCUGAUGACCUGCAACCAUUCAAACACUAAUUUUGAUAUGAUCCAGUGGUACAAACAGUCUGCUGGGAGAAAUGAUAUGGCUCUAGUUGGCUAUGUACGUUACACUUCUGAGGAGGUUGAAGAUCAAUUUAAAGACUUUUGUGAAGUCACCGGUAACGGGGGAAGUCUGUCAAGUCUGAAGAUUGCAAAGAGUCGAUCUGAAGACAGCGCAGUGUAUUUCUGUGGUG
Molecule: long non-coding RNA, 2339 nt
Organism: Acanthopagrus latus (yellowfin seabream)
Lineage: Eukaryota; Metazoa; Chordata; Actinopteri; Spariformes; Sparidae
Exons: 3
Source: RefSeq, a predicted model, not a curated record